Molecule: ribosomal RNA, 805 nt
Filed under: Micrococcus sp.
Lineage: Bacteria; Bacillati; Actinomycetota; Actinomycetes; Micrococcales; Micrococcaceae
Description: bacterial SSU rRNA
Rfam family: Bacterial small subunit ribosomal RNA
Source: RNAcentral
CGAUGAAGCCCAGCUUGCUGGGUGGAUUAGUGGCGAACGGGUGAGUAACACGUGAGUAACCUGCCCUUAACUCUGGGAUAAGCCUGGGAAACUGGGUCUAAUACCGGAUAGGAGCGCCUACCGCAUGGUGGGUGUUGGAAAGAUUUAUCGGUUUUGGAUGGACUCGCGGCCUAUCAGCUUGUUGGUGAGGUAAUGGCUCACCAAGGCGACGACGGGUAGCCGGCCUGAGAGGGUGACCGGCCACACUGGGACUGAGACACGGCCCAGACUCCUACGGGAGGCAGCAGUGGGGAAUAUUGCACAAUGGGCGAAAGCCUGAUGCAGCGACGCCGCGUGAGGGAUGACGGCCUUCGGGUUGUAAACCUCUUUCAGUAGGGAAGAAGCGAAAGUGACGGUACCUGCAGAAGAAGCACCGGCUAACUACGUGCCAGCAGCCGCGGUAAUACGUAGGGUGCGAGCGUUAUCCGGAAUUAUUGGGCGUAAAGAGCUCGUAGGCGGUUUGUCGCGUCUGUCGUGAAAGUCCGGGGCUUAACCCCGGAUCUGCGGUGGGUACGGGCAGACUAGAGUGCAGUAGGGGAGACUGGAAUUCCUGGUGUAGCGGUGGAAUGCGCAGAUAUCAGGAGGAACACCGAUGGCGAAGGCAGGUCUCUGGGCUGUAACUGACGCUGAGGAGCGAAAGCAUGGGGAGCGAACAGGAUUAGAUACCCUGGUAGUCCAUGCCGUAAACGUUGGGCACUAGGUGUGGGGACCAUUCCACGGUUUCCGCGCCGCAGCUAACGCAUUAAGUGCCCCGCCUGGGGAGUAC